ACUUCCAACCAUUGUCAUAUUUUGACAAAUUAUGUACCUAAAUGUUUUUGGUGUAUUUCUUUAUUCACAGGUGUAAUACAAUCAGCAAUUUUUGAGUUCACAGUUUUGACAGAAUGACGCGGCAAAGGGCUUUGUUCUAUAAUAAAUACUGAUAUGAAGAUCUGAGAGAAAUUUAUCCUCAUGAAAUAUAUUACAUUUGUUUAGGUUAUGUAGAAGAUAUUUUUGACUAGGAAUAAAAUAAUUCUCUGCAAAUUAAGAUUUAAAAAAUUAUGGAUACUAAGUAUUGGUUCAAAUCAUUUUAUGUUGUAGGACCAAUGAGAAAAGGUAAGGAACACAUAAGAUUUUGAGAAGAUAAAUAUUCUUUCUCUGAAAGCAUAGAAAAGUUUACUUGUAUGUUUCAGAUUUAAAUGUGAGAAAGAUAUUGGAUAUUUAUUUAUAGGUCUAAUUCUUUCUUUUAUUUUGAUAACUUUCUAAACAGUAGUUUUAAGACAUAAGAAAAUAUUUUUUCACCGGAUUCUAAAAUAACAGGAAUGGGCACAAACAAAAGGAUUUGAAACAAGAAUUUUUUGUCAAGAGAAUUUCAAAAUGAAGAGUAAAACACCAUUGUAAAUUGUAAGUGCCAAAUCUUGUUAGAAUUUCUACUAAAUUCAUUUAGCUUACCCUCUUCCACUUUUUUAUUUGUACCAAAGUUAUGUUGUAUUGGAAACUGUACCUGGAAAGGGUUUUUUAUUAUUUAAAAAGAGUUUACCUAAUUCACAUUUUUUUUUUAGUAAAAAUAAACUUAUAAAUAAUGAGAAAAACAAAUCAUAUAUUUACUUUGUACUACUUCAAUUACUACAAAUUCAACCAAGUCUUUUUACAUACAAUUUAUUUUACUUCAGUUUUGAACACAUACAUCCCACAAAAAGUUCUCUAUCAUUUUCAGUACAUAAGUACAUAAAGCAUGCAACAGAUUUCUUUGAUAUCCUGUAACAAAUAAAUUUGAAAUUUUGGAGAGUAUAUUAAUAGUAAAUUUUGAUGUACCAAAAUAUAAUUCUCAAAACUCUUAACAAUAUAGACUAUUAAAAUAUUUUUUAAAAAUAAACAAUUGUUUAUCUGAAACCAGCAGAUGAUUAAAUAGAAAUGUAUCUAUAGAAUGAGGGCUACUGAAUUUAAGGCUCUGAUGCAGAGUGAGGUCUCCAAGAAUCAAUAUCAUUGUUUGUUCAGGGAACUUUAAUACAUAUUGUCAAGAUUCAAAUGCUUCAUUCAUAUUUGUGAAUGUUUUGAAGGGUCAUAGUUGUCACUUUGAAAAGAUAUCAACGUCUGCUUGAAAUUUUUUUAAUUAAAUGAAAUGUUUUUUUUGUAAUGACUAAUUUUGACAGUUAUACUUCAAUACCUCAUUAGAUGCAUAGAAACAGUAGCCCUUAUUAUAUUGUAAGUGAAACACCAUUAAUUUUUUAAACGAGGCGCCCCUACUGGAUCUGAAACCAGCACAGAUCACUCUAAAUUAUUUUGAAUUGGCAACAGGUCUGUUGUAUCUAUUUUAAAUGGAACAGCUAGGGAAACUUGGAAAUUAAAGAGAACAAAUGCAAGUUCCUUACAAAUAAUUAUAUUAUUAGAUACAGUAGUGGAUACACAAUGAAUGAAUUGAAAUAAAAAUAAUGUUCAUUCCUUUCUAUAUAGUUUGAUGCACAAAAAUUGGAAUAUUUACAUAGAUACAACUUACCCUUUACAAAAUAUUUUUUCGAUAAACACAUCAAUUGAAAUAAUAUAUCUGAUUAAAUUGAUACAUCGUAAUAUAUUUCAAUUGAUAUUAUAUCAAAUAUCCUUAUGCUGGGGCGGAUUUACACGAAUCUGACGUUUAUUCAAAAUUUUUCGUUUUCACUACUCUAAUUCCUAAUAUCUGAUGAAAAUUGCAAAUUAUGGAAGUAAUAUUAUUUUAUUUAAAGAUGAUUAAACUAUAAUAAUUGACAGCCAUUCGGUUCAAAUCCGUCCCUGUUGUUUGUUCUGAUAAUUGAAUAUUCUGUACACAGGUAUUUUUUUAAGAUAAAACUUGAUAAAUAAAUGGAAUUCGAAAGAUAAUCAUAAGUAAAAUAAGGUUGAUUUUUUACCACCAACAAGAAAACUUAUAUUUGUAUUAAAGGGUGUACAAAAGAUCUGGAGGUGCUGGAAAGUUGGCCACUGCUUUAAUUCAAUUCUGAAUUUAAAGUCUGAAACAAUACAUGACAAAAAUAUGGGAUGUUCCAUUUAUGUAUUCUGGUGAAGUUUUAUCUCUCGAAUUCCAAGCUCAUUUAAAUAUUGAGGGUUUGAGAAUUAUAAACUAUGAUGCUUUAUUUUAGUCAGCACGUUUCUGGCACCACAAAGGUUUUCCCAGUAUUUUCCUCUUCACCGAAUACCUCAUGUUGCGGCUUUUCUGGAACAUUGGGUCCUCUCAAUUCCAGUGUAACCAAAUUUUUAUAUCCAUCCAAUGCCAAGACCACAAAUCGACCAUGUGAAGUAAUUUCGCAUGCUGAUAUUUUCAUUUUUGGUGUAUAGACUGCUACCAAAUCACCUACAAUUUCCAGAUUUUUCAAGUAAUGGAUUUAGUUCAAUGACUAUAGUUUGACUCUUACCUUUAUUAAGGUCCCAUAUUCUGAUUGAUCUAUCCCUGCAUUCUAAAUCUCUAGAAAGACAGUAGCCACCUGUCGGAUCUAGUUUCAAUGAUGAUACUGGUGCUGUAUGUCCACUUAAUGACCAACGACAGUUACCUGUAAAUAUAAUGUUAGAUUAGCAGAAUGGAAUUAUUAUAAAAUGAGUUGAUGUAACGAACACCACAUGUCUUAAACCAAAGUGAAAGUGAAAAUAGAAGAUUUCUGGUGUUUUCUUCUCCUCGGCUCCAUGUUACUUACCAGUUAUGAGGUCCCACACAAGUAUUCUUGCGUCCUCAAGACCAGAUAUGACACAGCCACCUUGUGAGCUUAUUUCUAAGGAAACCGUAUUACAGGAUGGCUUCCAUUUCUUGAAUAAUGUACCACUUUGCAAAUCAUAGACAACAAUAAAAUUGGGAUUUGGUUCGGCUAUCUCAUAACAAACACAACAAACGUAGUUACCUACGAAUUAAUCAAUAUGUUUAAAUGUUUGGUACAGGAAAUAAAGUUUUGAAUAUAAGGAAUCGAGAAUAAAUGGAAAGGCUGAGUAUAUUAAAUAACCAGAUGUUAGUUUACAUAUCUUGUUCAGAUUUACCUUCAUAGGUUAUGGCGGAUAACGCUGUUAUGAAAUGAUGAUGAGGAAUUCUAAGAUCGUACAAUAGUUUUCUAGAUUUCAAAUUCCACACUAAUAAUGGAAAAGGUUUUUGUGUUUCGUCUCCACAAACAAGGACUCUAAAAAUAUUAAAAAAAUGGAUUCUUUCUAAUCAUGAGUUGAAAACUGACAAAUUAAAUUCUUUUGUCUUCCAGUUCGACCAUUUUAUAUAAAUGAGACAUAUUGACAUUCUCCAAAAUCUUAUUUUCACUACUGGAGUAAGACAAGAGAAUUUAUGGAAUGUUAAUAGAAUAACAGUUCCAUAAAAUAAAAAAAAAGAAAA
Diorhabda carinulata is the source of this 3541-nucleotide long non-coding RNA. RefSeq lists it as uncharacterized. NCBI's taxonomy places the organism in Eukaryota, Metazoa, Arthropoda, Insecta, Coleoptera, Chrysomelidae. The record is from RefSeq and is a predicted model, not a curated record. The transcript is spliced from 2 exons.